Molecule: ribosomal RNA, 488 nt
Filed under: uncultured bacterium
Lineage: Bacteria
Description: partial 16S ribosomal RNA
Rfam family: Bacterial small subunit ribosomal RNA
Source: RNAcentral
GAUGAACGCUAGCGGCAGGCCUAAUACAUGCAAGUCGGACGGGAUCCAUUGAUAGCUUGCUAUCAAUGGUGAGAGUGGCGCACGGGUGCGUAACGCGUGAGCAACCUGCCUCCAUCAGGGGGAUAGCCUCUCGAAAGAGAGAUUAACACCGCAUAAUAUCAACAGUUCGCAUGUUCAGUUGAUUAAAUAUUUAUAGGAUGGAGAUGGGCUCGCGUGACAUUAGCUAGUUGGUAGGGUAACGGCUUACCAAGGCGACGAUGUCUAGGGGCUCUGAGAGGAGAAUCCCCCACACUGGUACUGAGACACGGACCAGACGACUACGGGAGGAAGCAGUAAGGAAUAGUGGUCAAUGGGCGGAAGCCUGAACCAGCCAUGCCGCGUGCAGGAUGACUGCCCUAUGGGUUGUAAACUGCUUUUGUCCAGGAAUAAACCUAAAUACGAGUAUUUAGCUGAAUGUACUGGAAGAAUAAGGAUCGGCUAACUCCGUG